RNAcentral lists this ribosomal RNA (351 nucleotides) under Euxestoxenus sp. CO916. RNAcentral describes it as "partial 12S ribosomal RNA". The record is from RNAcentral. Lineage: Eukaryota; Metazoa; Arthropoda; Insecta; Coleoptera; Cerylonidae.
UAUAAAUGUAGAUAUAAAAACUAAAUUAGUAUUAGUUAAGUUCUUUAAAAUUAAAGAUUUUGGCGGUAUUUUAGUCUUUUCAGAGGAACCUGUUCUAUAAUUGAUAAUCCACGAUUAAUUUUACUUAUUUUAUUAGUUUGUAUAUCGUUGUUUAUAAAUAUUUUAAAAGAAAAAUAAUAUUUGAGAUUUUAUAGUUAAAAAUAAGUCAAAUCAAGGUGCAGUUUAUAAAUAAGAAGAGAUGGGUUACAAUAAAUUUAUUUAAAUGGAAAUAAAAAUGAAAUUUUUUUUUGAAGGUGGAUUUGAAAGUAAUUAAUUUUAUUUAUUUUUAAUGAUUUAAGCUCUAAAAUAUGU